AUGCCGGCGACGACGGGGAGCGCCAGGCGGGUGGCCGUGCUCCGCUGCAUCGUGGCCGCGCUGGUCGUCACCGUGCUCCUCGCCGGCCUCGUCGUUCUCGUCUUCUGGCUCGUCGUCCGCCCCAAGCCCAUCGAGUACAGCGUCGCGCGCGCCGCCGUGCGGCACUUCAACGUCACCGCGUCGCCCGGCGGCGGCGGCGGCGCCACGCUCAACGCCUCCUUCUACCUCACCCUCGCGGCCGACAACCCGAACCGGCGCGUGUCCAUGCGCUACAAGUCGGUCGCCGUCUACGUGCACUACGGCGCGGGCGAGGUGGCGCCUCAGCUGGCGGUCGCCGACGUGCCCGACUUCCACCAGCCCAGCCGGAACGAGACGCGGCUCGAGGUGCGCGCCGUGGCGCGGUCGGCGCCGGUGCCCGACUGGACCGCGCGGGAGCUCGAGCACGACCGCUCCGACGGCGAGGUGGGCGUGGAGGUGCGCGUCACCGCGAUCGUCCAUUUCCUGGUCGGCGGCGUCAAGUCCAGGCACUACAACAUGCGGGCGGUCUGCUCCCCGGUGGUCAUCGGCUUGUCGCCGUCGUCGGCGCACUCCUUCCGGGGCGUGCCUUGCGACGUCGCAAUUUCGUGA
RNAcentral lists this ribosomal RNA (627 nucleotides) under Triticum aestivum (bread wheat). Its description in RNAcentral is "partial small subunit ribosomal RNA". Lineage: Eukaryota; Viridiplantae; Streptophyta; Magnoliopsida; Poales; Poaceae. The record is from RNAcentral.